UACGUAGGCAGCAAGCGUUGUUCGGAGUUAUUGGGCGUAAAGGGCUCGUAGGCGGUCUGUCGCGUCGGGAGUGAAAACUCAGGGCUUAACCCUGAGCCUGCUUCCGAUACGGGCAGACUAGAGGUAUGCAGGGGAGAACGGAAUUCCUGGUGUAGCGGUGGAAUGCGCAGAUAUCAGGAGGAACACCGGUGGCGAAGGCGGUUCUCUGGGCAUUACCUGACGCUGAGGAGCGAAAGUGUGGGGAGCGAACAGG
RNAcentral lists this ribosomal RNA (253 nucleotides) under uncultured bacterium. RNAcentral's name for it is "partial 16S ribosomal RNA". It matches the Rfam family "Bacterial small subunit ribosomal RNA", at positions 524 to 776 of the family's 1533-position model. The record is from RNAcentral.